AAAUUGCCAUGACAUUUCUCCAAGUCUCCAAAAGAAAACAUACAUCACUUACCAUCGCAUAGCACAGUUCGGUCAGAAAGCUAGGCCAUGCAUCAAACGAGUACUAGUUAAGAAAUCAGAAACGAGGGUUCCCAAGAGAUGCAUAUCACAUCGUUUACUAUUUCAGAUCGGUACAUGACACGGCAACAUCAGCAAUCAAACCAAAAAUCAGCAUUCCACCAGUUUUAGAUACACGGCAGCCAACUACAGUUCCUGAGACGCAAACAUGGCAAUCUAAGAGGAGGUGAACUUGGUGACGGCCUUGGUGCCCUCGGAGACGGCGUGCUUGGCGAGCUCGCCGGGGAGGACGAGGCGGACGGAGGUCUGGAUCUCCCGGGAGGUGAUGGUGGGCUUCUUGUUGUAGCGGGCGAGCUUGGCGGCCUCGCCGGCGAGCUUCUCGAAGAUGUCGUUGAUGAAGGAGUUCAUGAUGGAC
RNAcentral lists this long non-coding RNA (472 nucleotides) under Triticum aestivum (bread wheat). RNAcentral's name for it is "long non-coding RNA (TAES_LNC019436)". Lineage: Eukaryota; Viridiplantae; Streptophyta; Magnoliopsida; Poales; Poaceae. The record is from RNAcentral.